GUAAAAUGACAGAAACCAAUGAAAUUUUUUCUUAUGGAUGGGAAACCACUUUUGCUCCUCUUGGUAUUUGAAAUAAUUUUCCAUAUAUUGUGGAAACCAUUCUGUCUCGCCCGCCUGCCGGAACAUGAAUUCUCCAGAUCGGGCAGGUAGGCCGGCGGACGGGGCCCUUCGAAGAAGUGCCUCCACCCGCUGCAGCCACUACUUUGACUCCUUUUAUGCAAUUAUGAACUCCACGGAACUUUUAUCACACUAAAAAAGGGGGAAAGAAACAACCUUUGAAGGCUGUUUGCUUUCAGCAUCUCUAGGGAAAUCAAAUUGAAACCCAAUCUGCAUAUGUGCUAAUAGCAUGUCCCUUAUAUAGGCUACUCCUUAUAAGUACGCACCCACAAAAUAGCAAAUGAGGCUGUAAACAUAAAAGCCAACAACAGAUACGAAAUAAUGCUCUUUGGGUGUUCUGGUCUUCAAAACUUUGUUAUUUUGUACUUACCUGAAAUUGAGACAGAGGCGCCUGCCACGAGAUGAUGAUCGGAGCGGAGACGGUUAGUGGCUUCUUCGAAUUGGAGUGGCGACGAGGAGUUGCUUCUUCGAAUUGGAGUGGCGACGGCGAGAGGCUGUGUAUCGAGUCGAAUUGGAGGCGCG
This 639-nucleotide long non-coding RNA is filed under the name Prunus dulcis (almond). RNAcentral describes it as "sRNA ncRNA". The record is from RNAcentral. Lineage: Eukaryota; Viridiplantae; Streptophyta; Magnoliopsida; Rosales; Rosaceae.